Small nucleolar RNA from Ictidomys tridecemlineatus (thirteen-lined ground squirrel), 112 nucleotides. NCBI's taxonomy places the organism in Eukaryota, Metazoa, Chordata, Mammalia, Rodentia, Sciuridae. The record is from Ensembl.
UUAUAAAAAGAGAAUAUCAAGUAGCAACUUGGAAGAAGACCUGGCAUGCCUAAGGUCUUUGGGAAACAGAGGAUACUUGAUUUCUUUUACCUUCCUUUGCCUACAUGCAUAU